RNAcentral lists this ribosomal RNA (253 nucleotides) under uncultured bacterium. RNAcentral's name for it is "partial 16S ribosomal RNA". It matches the Rfam family "Bacterial small subunit ribosomal RNA", at positions 524 to 776 of the family's 1533-position model. The record is from RNAcentral.
UACGUAGGGGGCAAGCGUUGUCCGGAUUUAUUGGGCGUAAAGAGCGUGUAGGCGGCCUGGCAGGUCAGCUGUGAAAACUCGAGGCUCAACCUCGGAACUGCCUUCGAUACUGCGGGUCUCGAGUCCGGGAGAGGUGAGUGGAAUUCCUAGUGUAGAGGUGAAAUUCGUAGAUAUUAGGAAGAACACCAGUGGCGAAGGCGGCUCACUGGCCCGGUACUGACGCUGAGGCGCGAAAGCGUGGGGAGCAAACAGG